This is an RNA transcript of Brachypodium distachyon (stiff brome), 1727 nucleotides long. RefSeq lists it as uncharacterized. The record is from RefSeq and is a predicted model, not a curated record. NCBI's taxonomy places the organism in Eukaryota, Viridiplantae, Streptophyta, Magnoliopsida, Poales, Poaceae. The transcript has 3 exons.
UUUUCUCGUCCCCGUCCGGCCCGAGUGGGGGGAAGUUGCCGAAACUUGCCUAGGCUCCUCACUCCCUUUCCCCUCCCCACACCGGAGCCAUGUCGCGAUCCAUGGCUCCGGCCGCCGCCGGCACCACCAUGUCCGUCCUGGGCGUCGACCUCCUGCAGGAGAUCUUCAUCCACCUCCCGGACCCCGGCGACCUCCUCCGCUCCGCGGCCGCCUGCAAGCCCUUCCUCCGCGCCGUCCGCAGCGCCCGCUUCCUCCGCCGCUUCCGCCGCCGCCACAGUUCCACCUUCCCGCCCCUCCUCGGCUGCAUCCUCCUCCGCCGCAGCCACAACCGCGGCAGCCUGGAGAACCACCCCGUCUACCUCCUCACCCUCUCCGCCGCCGCGCGCCGCGUCGUCGAGGGCGGCGACUUCGCCCUCUCCUUCCUCCCCCACCGCAAGUUGCGGUGCGGCGCCCCGUGGAACGUCCUAGACUGCCGCAACGGCCGCCUCAUGUUGUGUAGCCCGGUGUCCAGGGAGCUCGUCGUGGCCGACCCGCUGACCCGCCACUGGGUCUCCCUCCCGGUGCUCCCUGCUCUGCGCCCUAUAGGGUAUGGCCUAGUCACCGAUUACGGCGAGUAUUCGGUGUUCCAGGCGGUUUGCAUUUCUCGAAGCGGCACCUCCCCCGGGUUGCGCGCUUUUCUCCUGUCCUCCGGCGAGCUCCAGUGGGCCGAAGUCGCAGGCCUGGCUAACCAGUUCGAUUUUGCUGACUCCCGGGCGAUGCAGGCCAACAGGUCGCUGUACUGGACGCUCCAGGGCAGGGACCGUAUGUUGGCCUUCAACACGACGACGAUGGAGUUCUCCGUCCUGGAGCUCCCACUUUUCUUGCGGGAGUACAGGUUCGAUGUCAUUGAGAAGGGCGAGGACGACACCAGUGGGCUCUAUAUAGUCACUAUGCGUGACUUCUGCAUUGAGAUUUGGGCUGGUGUGGAGGACGACAACGGUGGGCUGGUGUGGACGAUGGUAGAGAAGUCUGUGAGGUUCCGCAGGGUUUUAAAAGCGAACGAGCAGGAUGUCAUCGGGGUGGUCGCCGGUGUUCUGUUCUUGCAAGAUGGGGAUGGCCUGGUCUCCAUUGAUCUGAACACUAUGAUGCUGAGGAGGUUUCCUCCGAGGGACAAUUGCCCAUUGUCACUGAUAUAUCCUUACACAAUGGCGUGGCCACCUUUGUGUUUGAACCCUACUGAAGAAGUUGCUUGAUAAGGUUUGAACUUUGAAUGCCCUCAAUUUGCUGCAGGAAUGGGAUGCUGCACUUCAGCUUGUGAUGUUAAUUUGCUUGGAAAAUAAUGCACAGUGAAGAAACUGGAGACUGAAGAGCUAACUUGGCAACAAAGCAGAGGUAGCAGUUCUGGAGUUGAUUCUUCAGUUGAUGUGGGUGGAAUGCUUUCUUGCUGAACGCACUGAUUGGUCGACUACGUUGGUGAGUGUGACGCCUGGUGUUCACCUCAUCCGGUCCAGUUUUUUGUAUAAACUUCUGCUGGUCUUAAACGUUCAGCAUAUAUAGUUGAAUGCUUGAUUUGGCAAAGAGUAGCUAGUAGCCACCUGUUCUGUUUAACAAGCAAAGCAUGUAACUAGCAACGCUGCACGUGCAAUGCAUGCUUUGUACAAUACAUAUCGCAUAUGCAACCAAUAGAAAUGGAUAGGGUGAACAGCUGAUCACGCACCAUUUUGUGCACAACCUGUUCAUGGUACUCA